GAAUUGCCCCAAUUGGUUGUCAUGACGGUCAUGCCUCAGUCAGUGAUUGGCUGAGAGGUCCAGUUUCAGCAUGGUCACAAAGUAACAUGGACGACAAAAAAGCCAAAAGGACUGGGUACUGAGAACAUUGUGACUGCAGUGGUGGGGGAGCAGAUCCGGAGGUCCAGUACUACUUCCUUUCCACUUGGGAUCCAUUGGGGGACACAGACCGUGGGUGCAUGCUGCUGUCUCUAGGAGGUGUGACGCUAUGGCAACAAGAAAGUCGGCUUCUUCCAGCAGGAUAUACCCGCCUCCAGGCCCUGAGCUAAUCAGUUUUAGUACCAGAGCAAUAGGAGAGGACCGACAGGUCAAGGAAAAAACACGAACUGUCCGAGAACCAGAAGAAAAGAUAUAACUGAACCCGCCCUCGGACAGAUAACCAAAGAGAAACCCAA
Hyla sarda is the source of this 434-nucleotide long non-coding RNA. RefSeq lists it as uncharacterized. The transcript is spliced from 3 exons. The record is from RefSeq and is a predicted model, not a curated record. Lineage: Eukaryota; Metazoa; Chordata; Amphibia; Anura; Hylidae.